UCUGGUGCCAGCAGCCGCGGUAAUGCCAGCUCCAAUAGCGUAUAUUAAAGUUGUUGCAGUUAAAAAGCUCGUAGUUGGAUUUGUGGUUUACGCAAGGCUUCCGUCCCUCUUGGGUUUCGGUGUUGCCUGGCGUUGCCAUCCUUGGGUGGAAUCUGUGUGGCAUUAGGUUGUCGUGCAGGGGAUGCCCAUCGUUUACUGUGAAAAAAUUAGAGUGUUCAAAGCAGGCUUAUGCCGUUGAAUAUGUUAGCAUGGAAUAAUAAUAUAGGACCUUGGUACUAUUUUGUUGGUUUGCGCACCGAGGUAAUGAUUAACAGGGUCAACUGGGGAUAUUCGUAUUCCGCUGUCAGAGGUGAAAUUCUUGGAUUUUUGGAAGACGAACUACUGCGAAAGCAUUUAUCAAGGAUGUUUUCAUUAAUCAAGAACGAAAGUUAGGGGAUCGAAGAUGAUUAGAUACCAUCGUAGUCUUAACCAUAAACUAUGCCGACAAGGGAUUGGUGGAGUAUCGUUACGUCUCCAUCAGCACCUUAUGAGAAAUCAAAAGUCUUUGGGUUCCGGGGGGAGUAUGGUCGCAAGGCUGAAACUUAAAGAAAUUGACAGAAGGGCACCACCAGGAGUGGAGCCUGCGGCUUAAUUUGACGCAACACGGGAAAACUUACCAGGUCCAGACAUAGUGAGGAUUGACAGAUUGAGAGCUCUUUCUUGAUUCUAUGGGUGGUGGUGCAUGGCCGUUCUUAGUUGGUGGAGUGAUUUGUCUGGUUAAUUCCGUUAACGAACGAGACCCCUGCCUGCUAAAUAGCCCAGUGAGUGAUUUUUCACUGACUGUUGGCUUCUUAGAGGGACGUGCAUUCUAUUAGAUGCAGGAAGAUAGGGGCAAUAACAGGUCUGUGAUGCCCUUAGAUGUCCUGGGCCGCACGCGCGCUACACUGAUGAAUUCAACGAGUUUUUUCCUUGGCCGAGAGGCCUGGGCAAUCUUUUGAACGUUCAUCGAGAUAGGGAUAGAUUAUUGCAAUUAUUAAUCUUGAACGAGGAAUUCCUAGUAAACGCAGAUCAUCAAUCUGCAUUGAUUACGUCCCUGCCCUUUAUACACACCGCCCGUCGCACCUACCGAUUGAAUGGUCCGGUGAAGCCUCGGGAUUGUGGUCAGUUUGCUUUAUUGCGAGUUGAUUGCGAGAACUUGUCUAAACCUUAUCAUUUAGAGGAAGGUGAAGUC
This 1210-nucleotide ribosomal RNA is filed under the name metagenome. RNAcentral describes it as "SSU rRNA". It matches the Rfam family "Eukaryotic small subunit ribosomal RNA", at positions 560 to 1790 of the family's 1831-position model. The record is from RNAcentral.